GACGAACGCUGGCGGCGUGCUUAACACAUGCAAGUCGAGCGGAGCGGCGAACGGGUGAGUAACGCCUGAGUAACUGCCACCCUCUCUUGGAUAACAGUUGGAAACGGCUGCUAAUACCGGAUAGUGUGGGAUGACGCGCGUCCUAUCAGCUUGUUGGGGGGGUAGUGGCCUACCAAGGCGACGACGGGUCGCCGGCCUGAGAGGGCGACCGGCCACACUUGGCUGAGAUACGGCCCAAAGUCCUACGGGGGGCAGCAGUGGGGAAUAUUGCCCAGUGGGGCAACCCCUGAUGCAGACACGCCGCGUGCGGGAUGUCGGCCUUCGGGUUGUAAACCGCUUUCAGCCAUGACGCGGUAGUGGCAGAAGAAGCACCGGCUAACUACGUGCCAGCAGCCGCGGUAAUUC
This 405-nucleotide ribosomal RNA is filed under the name uncultured bacterium. RNAcentral describes it as "partial 16S ribosomal RNA". It matches the Rfam family "Bacterial small subunit ribosomal RNA", at positions 28 to 526 of the family's 1533-position model. The record is from RNAcentral.